This 492-nucleotide ribosomal RNA is filed under the name uncultured bacterium. Its description in RNAcentral is "partial 16S ribosomal RNA". It matches the Rfam family "Bacterial small subunit ribosomal RNA", at positions 29 to 507 of the family's 1533-position model. The record is from RNAcentral.
AGUGAACGCUGGCGGUAGGCCUAACACAUGCAAGUCGAACGGCAGCACAGUAAGAGCUUGCUCUUACGGGUGGCGAGUGGAGGACGGGUGAGGAAUACAUCGGAAUCUACUUUUUCGUGGGGGAUAACGUAGGGAAACUUACGCUAAUACCGCAUAAGACCUACGGGUGAAAGCAGGGGAUCUUCGGACCUUGCGCGAUUGAAUGAGCCGAUGUCGGAUUAGCUAGUUGGCGGGGUAAAGGCCCACCAAGGCGACGAUCCGUAGCUGGUCUGAGAGGAUGAUCAGCCACACUGGAACUGAGACACGGUCCAGACUCCUACGGGAGGCAGCAGUGGGGAAUAUUGGACAAUGGGCGCAAGCCUGAUCCAGCCAUACCGCGUGGGUGAAGAAGGCCUUCGGGUUGUAAAGCCCUUUUGUUGGGAAAGAAAAGCAGCAGGUUAAUACCCCGCUGUUCUGACGGUACCCAAAGAAUAAGCACCGGCUAACUUCGUG